GGACCUCUAGCUCAUGCCUGGUUAGAGCAGCGAACUCAUAAUUCGUUGAUGCCGUAUUCGACUCGCGGGAGGCCCACCA
RNAcentral lists this transfer RNA (79 nucleotides) under Pandoraea commovens. Its description in RNAcentral is "Pandoraea sp. LMG 31010 tRNA-Met". It matches the Rfam family "tRNA". From Rfam's summary of the family: Transfer RNA (tRNA) molecules are approximately 80 nucleotides in length. Their secondary structure includes four short double-helical elements and three loops (D, anti-codon, and T loops). The record is from RNAcentral. Lineage: Bacteria; Pseudomonadati; Pseudomonadota; Betaproteobacteria; Burkholderiales; Burkholderiaceae.